AAAGGUGGCAUCUGGCUCUGGUCUGUGACAGGCUGCAUGGGCCACCCCAGUGCCAUUCAUCCCAUCUCCCAUUCUCCACUUAGGGUCUCGGUUCUCUGAAGACUGGCACGUGGCCAGGGAAGGUUGUACAUGAGCCCAGAAUAUCAACUAUGAUGACAGCUGGGGAUCUUCCCAACCCAGGGAUCGAACCCGAGUCUCUUGUGUCUCCUGCAUUGGCAGACAGAUUCUUCCCCACUGUGCCAUCUGGGGCCUCAUUAGUUAGCUGGACACCUGAGCAACCAAUGCCUCCCCCGUCAGACUGCGGCUCCCUGAAGGAGGUAAAAUGCAGCAUCAAAACUGAUUGUGGAAAAUCAGGGUUACAAGUGGAGAAGGGAAAGGACUUUCUGAGGGCCAUAGAAAUGUGUCAGCAGAGCUGGAAGGAGAAUUGGUGAGCCUCCUGCCAACCAGUGUCACCAGGGCCCUCCAACCCAUGCUCCCUCCCCAUGGACACAGCCAGCUGCCCC
Dama dama (fallow deer) is the source of this 503-nucleotide long non-coding RNA. RefSeq lists it as uncharacterized. The record is from RefSeq and is a predicted model, not a curated record. NCBI's taxonomy places the organism in Eukaryota, Metazoa, Chordata, Mammalia, Artiodactyla, Cervidae. The transcript has 3 exons.